ACUCAAAUGAAUUGACGGGGACCCGCACAAGCAGUGGAGCAUGUGGUUUAAUUCGAUGCAACGCGAAGAACCUUACCUGGACUUGACAUACACUUGACAAUUUUAGAGAUAAAAUGUUCUCGCAAGAGACAGGUGAACAGGUGCUGCAUGGCUGUCGUCAGCUCGUGCCGUGAGGUGUUGGGUUAAGUCCCGCAACGAGCGCAACCCUUGUCGUUAGUUGCCAGCGCGUAAUGGCGGGCACUCUAGCGAGACUGCCUGGGUUAACCAGGAGGAAGGUGAGGAUGACGUCAAGUCCGCAUGGCCUUUAUGUCCAGGGCUACACACGUGCUACAAUGGCCGGUACAGAGGGCAGCAAAACCGUGAGGUGGAGCAAAUCCCAAAAGCCGGCCCCAGUUCGGAUUGAAGUCUGCAACUCGACUUCAUGAAGUUGGAAUUGCUAGUAAUGGCGAGUCAGCUACAUCGCCGUGAAUACGUUCCCGGGUCUUGUACACACCGCCCGU
Molecule: ribosomal RNA, 500 nt
Filed under: uncultured bacterium
Lineage: Bacteria
Description: partial 16S ribosomal RNA
Rfam family: Bacterial small subunit ribosomal RNA
Source: RNAcentral